AACAGCCCCAGCUAACCACCGGACAUUGAGCUCCAGUGCUGUGAAUCUCUGCUUAAAGCACCAUAUGACAUUCACCUGUAAUCCCAGCACUUCGAAAGGCCAAGGCGGGAGGAUCAAUUGAGCAGCCUGGGCAACAUAGGGAGACCUCAUCUCUACAAAAAAUAAAAAUAAAUUAGCCAGGUAUGGUGGUGCAUGCCUGGGGUCCCAGCCACUACUCAGGUGGUUGAGUUGAGAGGAUUGCUUGAGCCAGGGAAUUUGAGGCUGCAGCGAGUGGUGAUCACACCACUGCACUCCAGCCUGGGUGACAGAGUGAGACCCUCUCUCUAAAAAAAAAAAAAAAAAAAUCCACCAUGUUACACUCAUCAUCUCCAUGUGAGCAGUUCCUUCUAUCAGUAGAUUGCUGGUCACAGGCCACAGUGAUCUUUUGUGGCUUUCAUGUAUAUUUCAUCAUGUUUAGUGCAAUCCCAUAAACCUUGAAUAACACGAUGGGACCCAUAUGGAGUGCCACUACUGAUGCUGGAAAUGCUCCCAAGAAGCAGAAAAAAGUCAUGACAUUACAAGAAAAAGUUGCAUUGCUUGAUAUGCACUGUAGAUUGAGGUCUGAGGUCUGCAGCUGUGGUUGCCCCGACUUCAGACAGAUGAUUUGUCGUGUAAACAGACCAUGUAAACUUACAGCGUCAAUAAAUACAUUUCAGUACUGUAAAUGUAUUUUCUUUUCCUUACGAUUUUCUAAAUAACAAUCUCUUUUCUUUAGCUUACUUUGUUG
This 766-nucleotide long non-coding RNA is filed under the name Homo sapiens (human). RNAcentral's name for it is "HSALNT0129508". Lineage: Eukaryota; Metazoa; Chordata; Mammalia; Primates; Hominidae. The record is from RNAcentral.